AAUAAUAUUUCACAAUUUUACUGUUUUUCUGAUCAAAUAAAUGCAGCCUUGGUGAGCAGAAGAGACUUAUUUCAAAAAACCUAAUAUAGAGAUGCAUGAAACAAAAACAAUUCAAUAUGUACAUAGGCAAGAUGAAGCAAAUGAUAUUAUAACAUUUCAAAUUUAUUAAUAUUAUUUAUAAUUUAUUUAUUUUUAAAAACAAAAGCACUGGACCAUGACAUCACAUCCUGUUGCCCAUAUUCCUUCUAAAAUAUUUCUGUAAUAAUUUUGCAUGCUUAUUAUCUAGUGUACCCACUCUUUAAUCAGUUGAACAACAUAACUCAAUAUUUCACUCAACAACCCAGUCAAUAACACAAUCUUACACCAAUAAUAAUUCAGUACGCAAAUUAAAAAAAUAACAAAGAUCAACUGCUAUUCAGUUUGACAUCAACACAUUCAUUUUCAAUGGCGAACAAAGUCAAAAGAGCAAUUUCAAACUUCAAUCUUAAUUAUCUUAAAAAGUAUAAAUGUUACAAAACCCAAAAACAGAAGCACUCUCAAGACUGAAAAGAUCUAGAAAAUAAAGUAUAAAUGGUAUGAAUUAAUGGCAGUUUAAUACCGAGGAAAAAGAGGUUAAAAUAAAUACACACCAGAAUGUUUGCUGAGCACAAACACUGUGGAUAUCCACUGUCUUCCAUGUUGGAGAUUCACUGGAGCUUUUUUAUUUUUUUUUAUUUUAUUGUCCCAGCACUGUUAGCCCAUAGCUUCAGGAGUGGAGACAAAGACCCUCAGAUGCAGACAAAGCGGAAAAAGGUCAGCCGAUGCCCUUGAGGCGUCACUGAAGAGGAAAGUGCUUGUUCUGGGGGUCUCUUGGCCCUAAUGCACAGCAUUGAGUUUCAGCUCUACUUGCUCCGUGAUGCGGCAGUGGAGGUGCAGAACGGAGGGCCGAGCUGUUAGCGGAGCUUCAAGACCAGGCCCAAGGCACAGAUUCAACCUAAGCAAACCCUGACCUCCGUGUGACCCAUCUGUAGGAGUCAAUGAGUCAAUAUUUCAUCCGUUCGAGGGGCGGCCACACUAGACACUAUAGCUUUCAUUCAUACUCGUGUGAGAAUUGGCGUAGGACCUUCAUCUUCCUCUCUCUACCAAAGUUCAAAUUGGGUGGGUUUGAAAAAUAGACAUUAACCAAUUAGGGACAACAAUUCCACUGUUUCUCUUCUUGGCUGAACAUUAAAUGCUCAUUUUCACAUCAGUACAUGCUUACAAGUAUCUGAACUUGAACUCAAAGAGAUAGUUAGCUUGACAAAAGUUGAAGGUCAUUACAGGCAGACUAGGUUUGCUCUGGUGUUGCUAGGGUAUUUUAGGUGGUUUCCAUAGCAUUCUGGGUGGUUAUAAUGUUCCUAGUGGUGCUAGGACGUAUCUAGGCAGUUGCUAUGAUGUUCUUAGUGAUUGCUACAUUGUAGCAAGUGGUUUCUGAGCCUUUGCUAGGAUGCUCUUGGUGUUUGUUUGUGUUUAAGGUGGUUGCUAGGGCAUUUCUAUGCCGUUGCUAGGAUGCUCUUGGUCUUUGCUACAGUAGAUUGUUGUAGUUAGUUGCUAUGGUGUUUCUAUGCAGUUGCUAACUUGCCACAGUGUUUUGGAUGGUUACUAAGAUGUUCAAAGUGGUUUCUAGGCUGUUUCUAUGAUGCUCUUGGUGUUUGUUAGUAUUUUAGGUAGUUGCCAAGGCGUUUCUAUGCAGUUGCUAGGAUGCUCUUGUGUCUUGGUCUUUGCUAUAGUAGAUUGUUGUAGGUAGUUGCUAGGGCAUUUCUAUGUAGUUGCUAGUAUGCUCUUGGUCUUUGCUACAGUAGAUUGUUGUAGGUAGUUGCUAGGGUGCAUCUAUGCAAUUGCUUUGGUGUUCUAGGUGGUUGUUACAAUGUUCAAAGUGAUUUCUAGGCUGUUUUAGGGUGUUCUGG
Cyprinus carpio carpio is the source of this 1925-nucleotide long non-coding RNA. The record is from Ensembl. Lineage: Eukaryota; Metazoa; Chordata; Actinopteri; Cypriniformes; Cyprinidae.